This 94-nucleotide ribosomal RNA is filed under the name uncultured bacterium. RNAcentral describes it as "partial 16S ribosomal RNA". It matches the Rfam family "Bacterial small subunit ribosomal RNA", at positions 1390 to 1482 of the family's 1533-position model. The record is from RNAcentral.
CCGCCCGUCACAUCACGAAAAGUGGGCCGUACUAGAAGCAGGUGUGCUAACCGCAAGGAGGCAGCCUUCCAAGGUACAGCUCAUGAUUGGGGUG